RNAcentral lists this ribosomal RNA (460 nucleotides) under uncultured bacterium. RNAcentral describes it as "partial 16S ribosomal RNA". It matches the Rfam family "Bacterial small subunit ribosomal RNA", at positions 338 to 795 of the family's 1533-position model. The record is from RNAcentral.
CCUACGGGGAGCAGCAGUGAGGAAUAUUGGUCAAUGGACGAGAGUCUGAACCAGCCAAGUAGCGUGAAGGAUGACUGCCCUAUGGGUUGUAAACUUCUUUUAUAUGGGAAUAAAAUGUUCCACGUGUGGGAUUUUGUAUGUAACAUAUGAAUAAGGAUCGGCAAACUCCGUGCCAGCAGCCGCGGUAAUACGGAUGCUCCGAGCGUUAUCCGGAUUUAUUGGGUUUAAAGGGAGCGUAGGUGGAUUGUUAAGUCAAUUGUGAAAGUUUGCGGCUCAACCGUAAAAUUGCAGUUGAAACUGGCAGUCUUGAGUACCGUAGAGGUGGGCGGAAUUCGUGGUGUAGCGGUGAAAUGCUUAUAUAUCACGAAGAACUCCGAUUGCGAAGGCAGUUCACUGGACUGCAACUGACACUGAGGCUCGAAAGUGUGGGUAUCAAACAGGAUUAGAUACCCCUGUAGUC